This is a non-coding RNA of Cricetulus griseus (Chinese hamster), 1136 nucleotides long. Lineage: Eukaryota; Metazoa; Chordata; Mammalia; Rodentia; Cricetidae. The record is from RefSeq and is a predicted model, not a curated record.
AAUGUUUGGCUGGAGAGAUAAGAUCAUGUUUCCUUACUAAUGAUGGAGGCAUCUCCUGUGCUGUGAUGACACAGACGAGGUCACUCCACAGGAAACUCUGUCUGCUUAAGGACAACUAUGGAAAACCUCACAGGCGUUUUUACUAUAGGUCUGUAAUCCUGGCUCUUCGUGAAAGGAGUUCAGUGAACUGGCAGAAAAUCGCUGGCUAAGGGAAGCCAACAUGGAGACCCACUGUGAAGCACACAGCGGCAAAAACAGACGCCCAGGUGAAGGUCUGUGAGACCAGAGAGGGGAGGACACCAGAGUCACACAGCUACCGGUCCACAGGACAAAAACUGGAGCCCAGACCCCGUCUAAUAACCAGGAUCUUGACUGCUAGCACACUGGGUGUAUGGGACAAGUGCACAGCUGAUCAUGGCUGAAUUGGAAACUCCAAAGCUACGAUCCAAGAGGAAGGACCUGGACAAAAGAUGGAAGCUCCAAACAGAGCCUACCACCAUUCCUCAACCUUCCGACAACUCAACCCCUCCAUGUGUCUGUCAGCCGGGGCCCUUAUCAUGUGCCUGGCAUGACUUCACCUCUGAAUCCAUAUUUCUCCUUAAGAUCAAUAAACUGCUUAAUUGCUGGAGGUGGGGAUGGACACCAGACAGAAAAGAAUAUUGACCAGGCUGCCCUAAGUCCAUUCACACUGGGCAGUAUGCACUUCACGGGGGCUUAGGAUAGAUCCUGAGCCCAGAUGGUGAGGCAAGAAGCUAAGGGAACUGGGGACCAUCACUGUCUCUGUGGGCCGGCUACUGCUCUUGCCCCACAUAAACAGGAAAAUCCUAGGGGAUUUCAGCCUCCCAACAGCAAGUUCCUGAGAACCCUGGUCGUAUCAUGCAACCUUCAUCUAGAGAACUGUGUCUUCCAUUCCUUGGGACAAGAGCCUAAGUGGAUCUUCUACAUAGAAGCUUAAGAAUAGGCAGAAACAAAGCAACUAUGUUCAUCCUGGGUAUGUAGCCAAAAGUAUCACAGUCAGCUAAGACAGUGACACCCGAACACCCAUGUUUAUUAUAGCACUAGUCACGAUAGUCAUGAUAUGGAAUCAGCCUGGGUACCCAUUGGCAAACGGAUGAAUAAAAAUUAUUGUAUAUUUA